UAAGUUUCAGGCAUUAUUCGA
Non-coding RNA from Caenorhabditis elegans, 21 nucleotides. The record is from Ensembl. NCBI's taxonomy places the organism in Eukaryota, Metazoa, Nematoda, Chromadorea, Rhabditida, Rhabditidae.